Molecule: ribosomal RNA, 769 nt
Filed under: uncultured bacterium
Lineage: Bacteria
Description: bacterial SSU rRNA
Rfam family: Bacterial small subunit ribosomal RNA
Source: RNAcentral
GACGAACGCUGGCGGCGCGCCUAACACAUGCAAGUCGAACGGAGCUUAGAGAGCUUGCUUUUUAAGCUUAGUGGCGAACGGGUGAGUAACGCGUGAGUAACCUGCCCUAGAGUGGGGGACAACAGUUGGAAACGACUGCUAAUACCGCAUAAGCCCACGGUGCCGCAUGACACUGAGGGAAAAGGAUUUAUUCGCUUUAGGAUGGACUCGCGUCCAAUUAGCUAGUUGGUGAGGUAACGGCCCACCAAGGCGACGAUUGGUAGCCGGACUGAGAGGUUGAACGGCCACAUUGGGACUGAGACACGGCCCAGACUCCUACGGGAGGCAGCAGUGGGGGAUAUUGCACAAUGGGGGGAAACCCUGAUGCAGCGACGCCGCGUGGAGGAAGAAGGUUUUCGGAUUGUAAACUCCUGUCGUUAGGGACGAUAAUGACGGUACUUAACAAGAAAGCACCGGCUAACUACGUGCCAGCAGCCGCGGUAAAACGUAGGGUGCAAGCGUUGUCCGGAAUUACUGGGUGUAAAGGGAGCGCAGGCGGGAAGACAAGUUGGAAGUGAAAACCAUGGGCUCAACCCAUGAAUUGCUUUCAAAACUGUUUUUCUUGAGUAGUGCAGAGGUAGAUGGAAUUCCCGGUGUAGCGGUGGAAUGCGUAGAUAUCGGGAGGAACACCAGUGGCGAAGGCGGCCUACUGGGCACCAACUGACGCUGAGGCUCGAAAGUGUGGGUAGCAAACAAGGAUUAGAUACCCUGGUAGUCCACACCGUAAACG